UACGUAGGGUGCGAGCGUUAAUCGGAAUUACUGGGCGUAAAGCGUGCGCAGGCGGUUUGAUAAGUCUGAUGUGAAAUCCCCGGGCUCAACCUGGGAACUGCGUUGGAAACUGUCAGGCUAGAGUAUGGGAGAGGGAGGUAGAAUUCCACGUGUAGCAGUGAAAUGCGUAGAGAUGUGGAGGAAUACCGAUGGCGAAGGCAGCCUCCUGGCCUGAUACUGACACUGAGGUGCGAAAGCAUGGGGAGCAAACAGGAUUAGAUACCCUGGUAGU
Molecule: ribosomal RNA, 271 nt
Filed under: uncultured bacterium
Lineage: Bacteria
Description: partial 16S ribosomal RNA
Rfam family: Bacterial small subunit ribosomal RNA
Source: RNAcentral